GAUGAACGCUGGCGGCGUGCCUAACACAUGCAAGUCGAACGGGGUUACUUCGCCGUUUGAAGCUUCGGCAGAGAACAUGAGGUAACUUAGUGGCGAACGGGUGAGUAACGCGUGGGCAACCUGCCCCGUACCGGGGGAUAGCAGUUGGAAACGACUGAUAAUACCGCAUAAGCGCACAGCAUGGCAUCAUGCAGUGUGAAAAACUCCGGUGGUACGGGAUGGGCCCGCGUCUGAUUAGCCAGUUGGCGGGGUAACGGCCCACCAAAGCGACGAUCAGUAGCCGGGCUGAGAGGCCGGACGGCCACAUUGGGACUGAGACACGGCCCAGACUCC
This 333-nucleotide ribosomal RNA is filed under the name uncultured Butyrivibrio sp. RNAcentral's name for it is "bacterial SSU rRNA". It matches the Rfam family "Bacterial small subunit ribosomal RNA", at positions 28 to 339 of the family's 1533-position model. Lineage: Bacteria; Bacillati; Bacillota; Clostridia; Lachnospirales; Lachnospiraceae. The record is from RNAcentral.